AUUGAACGCUGGCGGCAGGCCUAACACAUGCAAGCCGAGCGGAGGAAGGGAGCUUGCUCCUGGAUUCAGCGGCGGACGGGUGAGUAAUGCCUAGGAAGCUGCCAGGUAGCGGGGGAUAACGUCCGGAAACGGGCGCUAAUACCGCAUACGGCCUGAGGGAGAAAGUGGGGGAUCUUCGGACCUGACGCUAUAAGAUGAGCCUAGGUCGGAUUAGCUAGUUGGUGGGGUAAAGGCCUACCAAGGCGACGAUCCGUAACUGGUCUGAGAGGAUGAUCAGUCACACUGGAACUGAGACACGGUCCAGACUCCUACGGGAGGCAGCAGUGGGGAAUAUUGGACAAUGGGCGAAAGCCUGAUCCAGCCAUGCCGCGUGUGUGAAGAAGGUCUUCGGAUUGUAAAGCACUUUAAGUUGGGAGGAAGGGCAGUAAGUUAAUACCUUGCUGUUUUGACGUUACCAACAGAAUAAGCACCGGCUAACUUCGUG
RNAcentral lists this ribosomal RNA (484 nucleotides) under uncultured bacterium. RNAcentral's name for it is "partial 16S ribosomal RNA". It matches the Rfam family "Bacterial small subunit ribosomal RNA", at positions 30 to 507 of the family's 1533-position model. The record is from RNAcentral.